RNAcentral lists this small nucleolar RNA (215 nucleotides) under Ictidomys tridecemlineatus (thirteen-lined ground squirrel). RNAcentral's name for it is "ACEA small nucleolar RNA U3 (ENSSTOG00000034845.1)". It matches the Rfam family "Small nucleolar RNA U3". Rfam says of the family: Small nucleolar RNAs (snoRNAs) are involved in the processing and modification of rRNA in the nucleolus. Lineage: Eukaryota; Metazoa; Chordata; Mammalia; Rodentia; Sciuridae. The record is from RNAcentral.
AAGACUAUAUUUUCAGGGGUCAUUUCUACAGUAGGUUACUAGAGAAGUUUCUCUGAUCAUGUCAAGUACCAGAAACCACGAGGAGGAGGUGAGUGUUCUCUCCUGAGCAUGAAGUUGGUCCUAGCUAUUGCAUUUCUACAACUGCCUUUUGCCAUUGAUGAUCGUUCUUAAUUCUCUUUAGAGAUUAAGAGGGAGAGAACACAGUCUGAGUGGUC